This 29-nucleotide non-coding RNA is filed under the name Cricetulus griseus (Chinese hamster). The record is from RNAcentral. Lineage: Eukaryota; Metazoa; Chordata; Mammalia; Rodentia; Cricetidae.
AGGCUGGGCAGCGGUGGCGCACACCUUUA